This 547-nucleotide ribosomal RNA is filed under the name uncultured bacterium. RNAcentral describes it as "partial 16S ribosomal RNA". It matches the Rfam family "Bacterial small subunit ribosomal RNA", at positions 355 to 895 of the family's 1533-position model. The record is from RNAcentral.
UGGGGAAUUUUGGACAAUGGGGGAAACCCUGAUCCAGCCAUCCCGCGUGUGCGAUGAAGGCCUUCGGGUUGUAAAGCACUUUUGGCAGGAAAGAAACGUCGCGGGUUAAUACCCCGCGAAACUGACGGUACCUGCAGAAUAAGCACCGGCUAACUACGUGCCAGCAGCCGCGGUAAUACGUAGGGUGCAAGCGUUAAUCGGAAUUACUGGGCGUAAAGCGUGCGCAGGCGGUUCGGAAAGAAAGAUGUGAAAUCCCAGAGCUUAACUUCGGAACUGCAUUUUUAACUACCGGGCUAGAGUGUGUCAGAGGGAGGUGGAGUUCCGCGUGUAGCAGUGAAAUGCGUAGAUAUGCGGAGGAACACCGAUGGCGAAGGCAGCCUCCUGGGAUAACACUGACGCUCAUGCACGAAAGCGUGGGGAGCAAACAGGAUUAGAUACCCUGGUAGUCCACGCCCUAAACGAUGUCAACUAGCUGUUGGGGCCUUCGGGCCUUGGUAGCGCAGCUAACGCGUGAAGUUGACCGCCUGGGGAGUACGGUCGCAAGAUU